Long non-coding RNA from Acipenser ruthenus (sterlet), 605 nucleotides. RefSeq lists it as uncharacterized. The record is from RefSeq and is a predicted model, not a curated record. The transcript is spliced from 3 exons. Lineage: Eukaryota; Metazoa; Chordata; Actinopteri; Acipenseriformes; Acipenseridae.
UGUAUUACACGGAGCACUGUGACUGAGGAGAAGCAGGAGUGUGAUGUCAUCAACCCGUGCCUUAUAUAGACAUUUCCUGUUAGAUUUUGGGAAAUGUAGUUUUUGGGCCAGUGCUAGUGCCAAUUAGAUAUUGGGGGUGUCUGAUUGGUUUUGAGCAGGAAUAGGAGUGGCCAACUGGGUUUAUAAGCAGCACAGCAUGAACUGGGAGGGACAGACACACCAGGAUACAGAAGCAGACACCCCAGGAUAUAGAAGGGGAUAUACACCAGGAUAAGUUCCCUUUAUCUUAUGGAUGUUUCACUGUUUCUUGUUGGGCUCAAAUCUGAACCUCUGAACUGCUAAGUGUCAAGGUCAGGGAGAGACUGUACCGAAUCCUGGAAAUUCACCGGGAUGCAGUCCGCAAGGAGACGAGUAGGACCUGGGGAACUGCUGCCAUGGAACCAGCACGGACACCCCGGAGCAACAGUACCUCUGCCAAGCACAGGAGCACAACAGCAACUACCCAGAGCACUUUUCCAUGCACAUUGUUGAAUUGAUGGACUUAUUUAGUUCAAAUUGUUUGUUUGGUCCUAAAGACCCACCGUUUUUGAAUAAAAUGGACAUUU